UAAAGCAAGAAAGGGCGUAUGGGGAAUGCCUAGGCACACUCCGGCGAAGAAGGACGCAGCAAACAGCGAAAUGCGACGGUGAGCGGUAAGCACGUGAAGAGCCGUCGAUAUCCGAAUGGGGGAACCCACACGGAGUCAUAUCCGUGUAUCACAUGUCGAAUACAUAGACAUGAUGAGGCGAGACGCAGGGAACUGAAACAUCUAAGUACCUGCAGGAAGAGAAAAUAAGAAUGAUUUUCUGAGUAGCGGCGAGCGAAAGGGAAAGAGCCCAAACCGAUCUGAGGAUCGGGGUAGUAGGAUCAUCGAGAAAUCAAACAGAGGAUCAUAGAGGAAUCACAUGGGAAGGUGAGCGAGAGAGGGUGAGAGCCCCGUACUCGAAAUGAGAGACUGGAGAGAGAUGACACCUGAGUAGGGCGGGACACGAGAAAUCCUGUCUGAAUCAGCCGGGACCAUCCGGCAAGGCUAAAUACGAGAGAGUGACCGAUAGUGAACCAGUACCGUGAGGGAAAGGUGAAAAGAACCCCGGGAGGGGAGUGAAAGAGAACCUGAAACCAUAUGCCUACAAGAAGUCAGAGCCCGUUAAAGGGUGAUGGCGUGCCUUUUGUAGAAUGAACCGGCGAGUUACUGUAUGGAGCGAGGUUAAGCAGGAUAUGCGGAGCCGAAGCGAAAGCGAGUCUUAAGAGGGCGCGAGUUGCAUGCAGUAGACCCGAAACCGGGUGAUCUAGCCAUGACCAGGUUGAAGUUGGGGUAAAACCCGAUGGAGGACCGAACCGACCCCCGUUGAAACGUUGGCGGAUGAGUUGUGGCUAGGGGUGAAAUUCCAAUCGAACCCGGAGAUAGCUGGUUCUCCCCGAAAUAGCUUUAGGGCUAGCGUCGAGAGAAGAGUUGCGUGAAGGUAGAGCACUGAAUAUGUGAUGGCCCCAUCUCGGGGUACUGAGCAUAAUCAAACUGCGAAUGUCACGCCAACAUGCUCGGCAGUCAGACAGCGGGUGAUAAGGUCCGUUGUCAAGAGGGAAACAGCCCAGACCAUCAGCUAAGGUCCCAAAAUGUAUGCUAAGUGGAAAAGGAUGUGGAGAUGUACAGACAACUAGGAGGUUGGCUCAGAAGCAGCCAUCCUUUAAAGAGUGCGUAACAGCUCACUAGUCGAAUGACUCUGCGCCGAUAAUUUACCGGGGCUAAGCAUACUACCGAAGCUAUGGAUCCCAAGGGAUGGUAGGGGAGCGUUCCAUGAACGGAGAAGUACGACCGAAAGGACGUGUGGAGAUCAUGGAAGAGAGAAUGCCGGUGUGAGUAGCGGAACGUGGGUGAGAAUCCCACGCACCGAAAACCCAAGGUUUCCAGAGGAAGGUUCGUCCGCUCUGGGUAAGUCGGGACCUAAGGCGAGGCCGAAAGGCGUAGUCGAUGGACAACAGGUAGAGAUUCCUGUACCCGUAUAUAUGUGAAGGAAUGACGGAGAGAGGAAGCUGCAGCCAGCGGCUGGAAGAGCUGGUGCAAGCGAGAUAUCGGGAUGGCAGGCAAAUCCACCAUCCGAAACGAGAAGGCGUGAAGCGUACGGAAAGCUACGGCGAGUACGGAAGGCAGUGGAGGAACUUCCAAGAAAAGUUUCUAACGUUAAGUAUAUAUGGCCCGUACCGAAAAUGGACACACAUGGGUGAGGAGAGAAUCCUAAGGUGAGCGAGAGAACUAUAGCUAAGGAACUCUGCAAAAUGACUCCGUAACUUAGGGAGAAGGAGUGCUCAUAGAGAUAUGAGCCGCAGUGAAACGGCCCAAGCGACUGUUUACCAAAAACACAGCUCUCUGCUAAGCCGCAAGGCGAAGUAUAGGGGGUGACGCCUGCCCGGUGCUGGAAGGUUAAGGGGAGGGGUUAACGCAAGUGAAGCCCUGAACUGAAGCCCCAGUAAACGGCGGCCGUAACUAUAACGGUCCUAAGGUAGCGAAAUUCCUUGUCAGGUAAGUUCUGACCCGCACGAAUGGCGUAAUGACUUGGGCACUGUCUCAACUGCAAAUCCGGCGAAGUUGUAGUGCGAGUGAAGAUGCUCGCUACCCGCGAUUGGACGGAAAGACCCCGUAGAGCUUUACUGUAGCUUAGCAUUGAAUUCCGGUAUUGUCUGUACAGGAUAGGUGGGAGACUGGGAAACUAGGGCGUCAGCCUUAGUGGAGUCAACCUUGGGAUACCACCCUGACAGUACUGGGGUUCUAACAGGACGCCAUGAAGCUGGUGACUGGACAUUGUUAGGUGGGCAGUUUGACUGGGGCGGUCGCCUCCUAAAAAGUAACGGAGGCGCCCAAAGGUUCCCUCAGAACGGUCGGAAAUCGUUCGUAGAGUGCAAAGGCAGAAGGGAGCCUGACUGCGAGACCCACAAGUCGAGCAGGGACGAAAGUCGGGCUUAGUGAUCCGGUGGUACCUCGUGGGAGGGCCAUCGCUCAACGGAUAAAAGCUACCUCGGGGAUAACAGGCUGAUCUCCCCCAAGAGUCCACAUCGACGGGGAGGUUUGGCACCUCGAUGUCGGCUCGUCGCAUCCUGGGGCUGUAGUAGGUCCCAAGGGUUGGGCUGUUCGCCCAUUAAAGCGGCACGCGAGCUGGGUUCAGAACGUCGUGAGACAGUUCGGUCCCUAUCCGUCGCGGGCGUAGGAAAUUUGAGAGGAGCUGUCCUUAGUACGAGAGGACCGGGAUGGACUGACCUCUGGUGCACCAGUUGUUCUGCCAAGAGCAUGGCUGGGUAGCUAAGUCGGGAAGGGAUAAACGCUGAAAGCAUCUAAGCGUGAAGCCCCCCUCAAGAUGAGAUUUCCCAUAGCAUAAGCUAGUAAGACCCCUUGAAGAACACAAGGUUGAUAGGUCAGAGGUGGAAGUGCGGUAACGUAUGUAGCUGACUGAUACUAAUAGGUCGAGGGCUUGACCAA
This 2901-nucleotide ribosomal RNA is filed under the name human gut metagenome. RNAcentral describes it as "bacterial LSU rRNA". It matches the Rfam family "Bacterial large subunit ribosomal RNA". The record is from RNAcentral.